AUGGAGCCGGCCUUGAAAUACCACCCUUUAAUGUUUGAUGUUCUAACGUUGGCCCCUGAUCGGGGUUGCGGACAGUGUCUGGUGGGUAGUUUGACUGGGGCGGUCUCCUCCUAAAGAGUAACGGAGGAGCACGAAGGUUGGCUAAUCCUGGUCGGACAUCAGGAGGUUAGUGCAAUGGCAUAAGCCAGCUUGACUGCGAGCGUGACGGCGCGAGCAGGUGCGAAAGCAGGUCAUAGUGAUCCGGUGGUUCUGAAUGGAAGGGCCAUCGCUCAACGGAUAAAAGGUACUCCGGGGAUAACAGGCUGAUACCGCCCAAGAGUUCAUAUCGACGGCGGUGUUUGGCACCUCGAUGUCGGCUCAUCACAUCCUGGGGCUGAAGUAGGUCCCAAGGGUAUGGCUGUUCGCCAUUUAAAGUGGUACGCGAGCUGGGUUUAGAACGUCGUGAGACAGUUCGGUCCCUAUCUGCCGUGGGCGCUGGAGAACUGAGGGGGGCUGCUCCUAGUACGAGAGGACCGGAGUGGACGCAUCACUGGUGUUCGGGUUGUCAUGCCAAUGGCACUGCCCGGUAGCUAAAUGCGGAAGAGAUAAGUGCUGAAAGCAUCUAAGCACGAAACUUGCCCCGAGAUGAGUUCUCCCUGACUCCUUGAGAGUCCUGAAGGAACGUUGAAGACGACGACGUUGAUAGGCCGGGUGUGUAAGCGCAGCGAUGCGUUGAGCUAACCGGUACUAAUGAACCGUGAGG
This 742-nucleotide ribosomal RNA is filed under the name Escherichia coli. Its description in RNAcentral is "partial 23S ribosomal RNA". It matches the Rfam family "Bacterial large subunit ribosomal RNA", at positions 2180 to 2916 of the family's 2925-position model. Lineage: Bacteria; Pseudomonadati; Pseudomonadota; Gammaproteobacteria; Enterobacterales; Enterobacteriaceae. The record is from RNAcentral.